Molecule: ribosomal RNA, 173 nt
Filed under: uncultured bacterium
Lineage: Bacteria
Description: partial 16S ribosomal RNA
Rfam family: Bacterial small subunit ribosomal RNA
Source: RNAcentral
UCGGAAUUGCUAGUAAUCGCGGAUCAGCAUGCCGCGGUGAAUACGUUCUCGGGCCUUGUACACACCGCCCGUCACACCAUGGGAGUCGGUAACACCCGAAGUCUGUAGCCUGACGCAAGAGGGCGCAGCCGAAGGUGGGAUUGAUGACUGGGGUGAAGUCGUAACAAGGUAGC